GGAGGAAAGCAGGGGAUCGAAAGACCUUGUGCUUUUAGAGCGGCCGAUGCCUGAUUAGCUAGUUGGUAAGGUAAAGGCUUACCAAGGCAAAGAUCAGUAGCUGGUCUGAGAGGACGACCAGCCACACUGGGACUGAGACACGGCCCAGACUCCUACGGGAGGCAGCAGUGGGGAAUUUUGGACAAUGGGCGCAAGCCUGAUCCAGCCAUGCCGCGUGAGUGAAGAAGGCCUUCGGGUUGUAAAGCUCUUUCGGUCGGGAAGAAAUAGUUGUGGCUAAUAUCCAUAACGAAUGACGGUACCGACAUAAGAAGCACCGGCUAACUACGUGCCAGCAGCCGCUUUAAGAAAUAGGGUGCAAGCGUUAAUCGGAAUUAUUGGGCGUAAAGGGUGCGCAGGCGGAUGUAUAAGUCAUAUGAGGGAUCCCCGGGCUUACCCUGGGAAUUGCGUUGAUUUAAAGGGGCUAGAAGGGC
RNAcentral lists this ribosomal RNA (470 nucleotides) under uncultured beta proteobacterium. Its description in RNAcentral is "bacterial SSU rRNA". It matches the Rfam family "Bacterial small subunit ribosomal RNA", at positions 198 to 650 of the family's 1533-position model. The record is from RNAcentral. Lineage: Bacteria; Pseudomonadati; Pseudomonadota; Betaproteobacteria.